RNAcentral lists this ribosomal RNA (253 nucleotides) under uncultured bacterium. RNAcentral describes it as "partial 16S ribosomal RNA". It matches the Rfam family "Bacterial small subunit ribosomal RNA", at positions 524 to 776 of the family's 1533-position model. The record is from RNAcentral.
UACAGAGGUCUCAAGCGUUGUUCGGAUUCAUUGGGCGUAAAGGGUGCGUAGGCGGCGGGGCAAGUCAGGUGUGAAAUCCCGGGGCUCAACCCUGGAACUGCACUUGAUACUGCUUUGCUAGAGUACUGGAGAGGAGAUUGGAAUUUACGGUGUAGCAGUGAAAUGCGUAGAUAUUGUAAGGAAGACCAGUGGCGAAGGCGAAUCUCUGGACAGUUACUGACGCUGAGGCACGAAGGCCAGGGGAGCAAACGGG